This 437-nucleotide ribosomal RNA is filed under the name uncultured Glomeromycotina. RNAcentral describes it as "SSU rRNA". It matches the Rfam family "Eukaryotic small subunit ribosomal RNA", at positions 569 to 1008 of the family's 1831-position model. Lineage: Eukaryota; Fungi; Glomeromycota. The record is from RNAcentral.
AGCAGCCGCGGUAAUUCCAGCUCCAAUAGCGUAUAUUAAAGUUGUUGCAGUUGAAAAGCUCGUAGUUGAAUUUCGGGGUUAGUACGCUGGUCAUGCCUUCGGUAUGUACUGGUGUUACCGAUUCCUACCUUCUGAAGAACCGUCAUGUCAUUAGUUUGGUGUGGCGGGGAAUCAGGACUGUUACUUUGAAAAAAUUAGAGUAGUUUAAAGCAGGCUCGCGCUUGAAUACAUUAGCAUGGAAUAAUGAAAUAGGACGUUCGAUCCUAUUUUGUUGGUUUCUAGGAUUGACGUAAUGAUUAAUAGGGAUAGUUGGGGGCAUUAGUAUUCAAUUGUCAGAGGUGAAAUUCUUGGAUUUAUUGAAGACUAACUACUGCGAAAGCAUUUGCCAAGGAUGUUUUCAUUAAUCAAGAACGAAAGUUAGGGGAAUCGAAGACGAU